UUGACCUCGAAUCAGGUAGGACUACCCGCUGAACUUAAGCAUAU
This 44-nucleotide ribosomal RNA is filed under the name Metarhizium anisopliae. RNAcentral describes it as "partial 28S ribosomal RNA". Lineage: Eukaryota; Fungi; Ascomycota; Sordariomycetes; Hypocreales; Clavicipitaceae. RNAcentral also lists the same sequence under 4 other names. The record is from RNAcentral.